This is a small nucleolar RNA of Gossypium arboreum, 107 nucleotides long. It matches the Rfam family "Plant small nucleolar RNA R71". Rfam says of the family: R71 is a member of the C/D box family of snoRNAs containing the C (UGAUGA) and D (CUGA) box motifs. Multiple nearly identical copies of this snoRNA have been identified in Arabidopsis, and it is thought to function as a 2'-O-ribose methylation guide for 18S ribosomal RNA. The record is from Rfam. Lineage: Eukaryota; Viridiplantae; Streptophyta; Magnoliopsida; Malvales; Malvaceae.
AUCCUAUAGUGAGAGCACUUUUGUAAAAAUUACUUGAAUCAUUCCUAAGCCUCAUAUAAGGAUUCAUCAUUGAACUGUUGGAAUGUGGUGAUCUUAUUCCUAAGCUU